GGGAAUGAUGGGAUUGGGAAUGAUGGGAUUGGGAUUUCAUGGUCCAGGAGCAGCCGGACCAGGGGCAGGGAGUCGUCAAUGCAGCUCUGGGAAUGGGAAUGGAAUUGGGAAUAAUGGGAAUGGGAAUGGUGGGAAUGUGGGAAUGCUGGGAUUGGGAAUGGUGGGAAUAAUAGGAUUGGGAAUAAUGGGAUAUGGAAUAAUGGGAUUUCAUGGUCCAGGAGCAGCUGGACCAGGGGCAGGGAGUCAUCGAUGCAGCUCUGGGAAUGGGGGAAUGGGAUUGGGAUUGGGAAUAACAGGAAUGAUGGGAAUGGGAUUGGGAAUGGUGGGAAUGGUGGGAAUGGGAUUGGGGGGGAUUAGGAAUGGUGGGAAUGGGAUUGGGAAUGAUAGGUUUGGGAAUGGUGGGAUUUGGAAUAAUGCGAAUGAUGGGACUGGGAUCGGGAAUAAUGGGAUUGGGAAUAAUGGGAUCGGGAAUAAUGGGAUUGGGAAUAAUGGGAUUGGGAAUAAUGGGAUUGGGAAUAAUGGGAUCAGGAAUAAUGGGAUUGGGAAUAAUGGGAUUUCACGGUCCAGGAGGAGCCGGACCAGGGGAGGGAAUCACCGAUGCAGCUCUGGGAAUGGGAUUGGGAAUGGGAUUGGUGGGAUUGGGUUUGGUGGGAAUUAUGGGAAUGAUGGGAAUGAGAAUAAUGGGAAUGGGAAUAAUGGGAUUUUAUGGUCUAGCAGGAGACGGACCAGGGGCAGGGAAUCUUCAAUGCAGAGCUUGGAAUGGGAUUGGGAAUGGUGA
This 778-nucleotide long non-coding RNA is filed under the name Zonotrichia albicollis (white-throated sparrow). RNAcentral describes it as "lncRNA (ENSZALG00000007164.1)". The record is from RNAcentral. Lineage: Eukaryota; Metazoa; Chordata; Aves; Passeriformes; Passerellidae.